GAUGAAGAACGCAGCGAAAUGCGAUAAGUAAUGUGAAUUGCAGAAUUCAGUGAAUCAUCGAAUCUUUGAACGCACAUUGCGCCCCUUGGUAUUCCGAGGGGCAUGCCUGUUCGAGCGUCAUUAUAACCCCUCAAGCUCAGCUUGGUGUUGGGGCCUGCCGCACGGGCAGCCCUUAAAAUCAGUGGCGGUGCCAUCUGGCUCUAAGCGUAGUAAUUCUUCUCGCUAUAGAGUCCCGGUGGAUGCUUGCCAUUAACCCCCAAUUUUCUAUGGUUGACCUCGGAUCAGGUAGGGAUACCCGCUGAACUUAAGCAUAUAAUAAGCGGAGGA
RNAcentral lists this unclassified non-coding RNA (327 nucleotides) under soil metagenome. Its description in RNAcentral is "partial contains 5.8S ribosomal RNA, internal transcribed spacer 2, and large subunit ribosomal RNA". The stretch from base 1 to 120 matches the Rfam family "5.8S ribosomal RNA", at positions 35 to 154 of the family's 154-position model. The record is from RNAcentral.